GAUGAACGCUGGCGGCGUGCUUAAUACAUGCAAGUCGAGCGAACGGGCGAGUAGCUUUCUGCUGUGAUGUUAGCAGUGGAGGAGUGAGGAACAACACGUUAAUCACCCUAUCCCUCUUGGUUAAUUUCCGGAUACCGGAGUUACUAACAGAUGAUAUUUUGAAUCUGAUGGUUCAAAGGUCAAAGAAGGAUAUGCUUUCACUUGUUGAUGGAUCCGCGCUGCAUUAGCUUGUUGGUAAGGUAACGGCGUACCAAGGCAACGAUGCAUAGCCGCCCUGAGAGGGGGGUCGGCGACAAUGGAACUGAGGCACGAUCCAGACUCCUACGACGGGCAGCAGUAGGGAGUCUUCCGCAAUGGGCGGAGGCCUGCCGGUGCAGCGCCGCGUGAGGAAUGAUGGUCUUCUGAUCGUUGAACUCUGUUAUUAGGGAAGAACAUAUGUGUAAGUAACUGUGCACAUCUUGACGGUACCUAAACAGAAAGCCACGGCUAACUACGUG
RNAcentral lists this ribosomal RNA (497 nucleotides) under uncultured bacterium. Its description in RNAcentral is "partial 16S ribosomal RNA". It matches the Rfam family "Bacterial small subunit ribosomal RNA", at positions 28 to 507 of the family's 1533-position model. The record is from RNAcentral.